CUUUUUUGUCCAAGGGCUGCAUGCAGAAAAAUCGAUGGAUGCAAGGGCCACUUUGAAAUUCUUCAACUUUAAUUUAUUGAACAUGCUAAAACUAGUGAUGGGACGAACAACACUGGUGGGUCAGCACUGUGCCGAGUGCACAAGAGUGAAACAUCGUAUGGGUGUGCUUAUCGCUUUAAGAAAAAAAUCAAGUGACCAAUACAGGAAGUGUGUCGUCUGGAUGUGCCGCGCCAAAUUGUGUUUAUAAGGAAACAAACUGUGUCGACAUUUUGUUGGAUGGAGUUUUGCUGUUGCUGUUGGAUUUUUGCUUGCCCUCACCUUGUUCCACUGAUUUCAUGGAUUGUUCCAAGACGUUUCCCCCAGUCUGGAAUAAUUUUGAUCUUUUGAUGCCAAAUAAGGUGAAGUGUCGGCUCUGCUCCACAGACCUAACCUACAUCCAUAGGAGCACUUCGUCAAUGCUGAGGCAUUAUAGAGCUCGGCAUGGCAAUGGAGAAUUGGCAGAUACUCUUGAGUACCCCAGUUCCUAACAAGCAAGCAGUGGAUGAGGCUGUCUGUGGUCAACAGGAUCAUCAAAGACUGUCAGCCACUCACCAUUGUUGAAAAUGAGGGAUUCAGGGAGCUCCUGAAACUCAUCAACUCGCACUUAAAUUUUUAUGCUCACCAUCUUCAUCUGUACCCUGUGAAAGUUUUUUUCUAAGGCAGGCGAACUGGUGUCUAAGAGGGGAAAUCGCAAAGACACUUCACAAACUUUUGUUCCUCAAUAAAAAUGCAUAAAUUAAUCAAUUUUUAGUCUUUUAUUUCGUAUGAUUGAACACUUAAGUUAACAAAAUUCCAUACAUA
Molecule: long non-coding RNA, 840 nt
Organism: Phyllopteryx taeniolatus (common seadragon)
Lineage: Eukaryota; Metazoa; Chordata; Actinopteri; Syngnathiformes; Syngnathidae
Exons: 3
Source: RefSeq, a predicted model, not a curated record